UUCAACAAACUAUGCGCGCCAUGGAACACAACGAAAUGCCGGCCAUGUGGACCUUAUCCCACGUGCUAUCUGAUAGACAGGGAAUGUGACUGCUACUGCUGAGCUGCGAAUCCGUCCAAGAGAACCCAGCUGCACGAGCUUGACAACGACCUAAUGGGCAUGCCAGAUUUGUUAAACAUUUUAGUGCUUAACAAUAAACACUCGAUUACAUAUACUACAAAUGGCGUCAGAUUCUACAGGCCUCCAUAUUUCGUCUAGAUUUACAUCUUACGCUAAAUUUUGAAAUAUUUGCAACACUUUCAAUAUAUAACAACCGGCUUUUCGACGAA
Molecule: long non-coding RNA, 329 nt
Filed under: Dermacentor andersoni
Lineage: Eukaryota; Metazoa; Arthropoda; Arachnida; Ixodida; Ixodidae
Description: uncharacterized LOC126533838
Source: RNAcentral